Molecule: ribosomal RNA, 253 nt
Filed under: uncultured bacterium
Lineage: Bacteria
Description: partial 16S ribosomal RNA
Rfam family: Bacterial small subunit ribosomal RNA
Source: RNAcentral
UACGUAGGGCGCAAGCGUUGUCCGGAAUUAUUGGGCGUAAAGAGCUCGUAGGCGGUUUGUCGCGUCUGCUGUGAAAACUGGGGGCUCAACCCCCAGCCUGCAGUGGGUACGGGCAGACUAGAGUGCGGUAGGGGAGACUGGAAUUCCCGGUGUAGCGGUGAAAUGCGUAGAUAUCGGUAGGAACACCAGUGGCGAAGGCGGUCUCCUGGGGCAUUCUUGACGCUGAGGCGCGAAAGCUGGGGGAGCGAACGGG